GAGGCCCGGUGCUGAGCGCCUGGCCCCGCUGACCCGGCGUCUUUCCCGCCAGCUGGACAUCUUAUGCAACGAGGAGAUCCUGGGCAAGGACCACACGCUCAAGUUCGUGGUCGUCACGCGGUGGAGGUUCAAGAAGGCGCCCCUCCUGCUGCACUACAGACCCAAGAUGGACCUGCUGUGACGUGCAGACGGCCCGGGCACGGAGCACGGGCGCGGACCCGAGGCCCGGGACCAGACUUCUGCACAGAGAAUAUUUAUCACUUUUGUAUGAGAGUUCACACUCGACAAGACACUACCAGCAGCUCGGUGACAGGUGGCGACACACUUCACAGGCUCACGCGGCCGCCGGCCCUCACGACCCUCAGCUCUCAGCUUCACGGACCCGCGGCCUCCCAGGUCUCCAAAAUCUCGGUCGUUUCCAUUUAGUUUAUGAAUUAGGUUCAUGACAAAAACACGUGCUCAUUGGUCCUCACUAAGCUUUGAAAACACGUUUUCCUGGCGGAUGAUGACUUUCUGUUGCCUUUAGCUCCCGGGAGAUCGACAAGAAUUCACUUUAAGAGCAAAACAAAAGAGGCUGCCACUCGGUGCGGUUCCCGCGUGUGUGAUGUCCCUGUCGUGACCGGAGGGAGCCCCUGUGCGUGCACAGCCGUCUCGGUAAAGUCGCUUUGGUCACUAAACGCGACACCAUCGUCAGAGCACGCUCCCUCCUGCUGAGAGGGAGCUGGUGGCCGCAGGGAGUCCCAGGCCCUCGUCCCGCUGCAGGGGGCCCGCCCCCCUCUCUGCCGGUCCCGGUGGUUCUCACCGAGCACCCGGGCCGGGCGUGGGGACAGCAACCUAACCCCAGCCCCAGGGACACCCGCUUUCUCACCCAAACGUUCAUAUUUUCGUGGAAUUAGAGAAAAAACAUUCGCCAGCACACAAACGUGUUCCUUUAAGAUAGUCCCUUGGAAGGCGUGACGGCGAGCUCGGGGAGAAAGGCCCGUUCCUGUGGUCAGUGUGUCCUGGCGCUCUGGUCACUCCUACGUCCCCCGGCCCCUCCCACCGCCCCUGCCCGAGGCCUGUGGUCCCGCCCUACGCCCACCCUGCCUCUGUGCUGGGUUUUCCAUGAAGUUCUCACUUUAGGGACUAGAAUUUUCUCAAAUUGGCUCCAGACCUGUGGCCUCAGGGGCUGCUUCCUGUUGCACGUACACAGGGUCAGGCAGCUACUGAUGAGCCAUAAGCGUAGAGAAAAAUCUUCACAUUAAUUCAGUCCAAGCAAUUUUAAUGUAAGGCCUUUAAAACCACCAAACGCGUUAGGGAUUGGUCGAAUCGCUGUUUCCGCCGAGACCCCAUCCUGUUCAUCCCCGCGGUUCUCCGUUGCGCUCCGAGGCCUGGCGAGUGGAUGUGUGUGAGCAACUAUGACCUGUCUACCUCAAAACGCACAUUGCCGCUGGCGCAUCUGUCGGACCCAGGACCCCAGUGCGGUCUCCGGGCCUAGGGGGUGGGGUUCCCGUGGGGUGAAGAGGGGUGAACGGCGUGAGUGUCACCUUCAAACACCUGGUUCCCGCUCAGACCGGGCCGACUGUGUCUGCAGCCGCCCGACGCACAUCGUGACCUGUAGCUCUCUGUGCGACCACUUGAAUUUGCUAUGGUGCUAAGCUGAUACCUUGAGAGGUGCCGGGGCCGGCGGGUCCACGCCGCUGGCUCGGCCGCUCUUCUGGCCGCGGGACCUGGGGAGCCCCAGCAGCAGCAGAGCCUAUUUUUCUACGAUUUCCUCGUGAGACUGUUCACGCAGACGGCGGGACCUGCCUGGUCGGACCGCAGCCCGUGGACUCGGCUGGGGAGGCUGAUGCACUUUCUCCUGCGUGAGAGGCGGGUCGGAGGGGCAGGCCGCGGGUGUCCCGGGCGGAGUUCCCGGGCGUCUCCCUCCCGUGUGCGCGGCUGGCACGGCCGCUCAGCGCCUGCGCCCUCAGCAGCCGUGGGACUCACCGUGCGGUUUUCACGAAAACAAAAUUCAGAUAGAAUAUAUAAUAUGGAAUUUAAGAUUUGGGGGGUUGGAAAAGAAAACUUAACUUUAUAAAAUUAUUUAUUCUAUUUUAAGCGUUCUAUCCUGUUUUCCCAUCAGCCAUCUGGUUCGUGCCGCUUUGUUUACAGGCAUAUAAGGUGAAAGGGAUGUUCUGCAAGCUUCCUCCUUCCUUUCGGGCGUCGCCCUGUGUUUCCGUUUGUGCGGGUGAGGAGCGUCGUUAUGCGUUUAUGCUUUUGUGCAAUAGGCUCCACGCGUGCUGCCCGGCGGCGACUGGGCGGGAAUGUCCGUGGGUCCCAACCUGCACACGGAGCUACUUGGGUUUCCUUUUUCGUUGUUGUGAUGAGAAUGCUGUUCUCGGUGACGCACAGCCUGUCAGCAACGUUACCAACAGGUGCCCGGCAGGCAGGCAGCCGCGUGCGUGGGGCCUCGCACCCGGACCCCGCGUGCUCAGGCCCUGGCACACCACCCCCACCCCCCGGCGGCCCAGAUGUGGGGUGCAGUCCCAGGCCCCGAGCCCUCGGGCAUCCCUGUUAGGAGUCCUGACCACCGUCUGGCGCCUCAGCACACGGCUGUGCCGCUGAUUUGAAGUAUCAUCAGGUUGAACGUUCUAGGAGCAAGCCAGCGGGUUUCUGUGAUGUGUGUCACUAUUGGAUGUGCCCUCAAAACGGGAAAUCACGCCAGUGCAGACAGCAGUCCGUUUCUCUUUCCUCAGGAGCCCAUGUGCACCCCACACGUCACCUGUGCCCUCAGCCCAUAAAGUGUGUGUCUGCCUCGGUUCGCAGCGCACGGAGGGCACUGGGAUGCGCGGAUGAGAAAGGGUUCAGGCUGCACCUUCCCGCGAGGCGCCUGCCGGGCAGGGAGGGCCACGCCCCACAUCAGGGUGUCCCCACGGCUUGUUGGGUGUAAGAAAACCACGUUCUCCCAGUCGGUGCGGGUUCGGGCGGAGCCUGCCAUCUGCAGCGACACGGCUGCCAUGGGUUAUGGGAUGGCAAUGCGGAUGCAUAUUUUUGUUUAAUUUGAAAGUUUACAUUUUUAUGCUUUGUGUUGUUGUGUAACUUUUGUACUAUUGGUGGCUAGUUUUGUCUAAAAUCUUUUUUGGAAUAUUGCUUAAAUGUUUUGAUUUUAUGACAGUGAAGCUUGUAUUCAGUGUUUUGCCAAUUAAUAUUAUAUGCUUGUAAUAAAAGCAAAGGAAACAACGGUC
Myotis lucifugus (little brown bat) is the source of this 3206-nucleotide long non-coding RNA. RefSeq lists it as uncharacterized. Lineage: Eukaryota; Metazoa; Chordata; Mammalia; Chiroptera; Vespertilionidae. The record is from RefSeq and is a predicted model, not a curated record. The transcript has 2 exons.